Molecule: microRNA precursor, 69 nt
Filed under: Sousa chinensis (Indo-pacific humpbacked dolphin)
Lineage: Eukaryota; Metazoa; Chordata; Mammalia; Artiodactyla; Delphinidae
Also listed under: 2 other names
Description: mir-8/mir-141/mir-200 microRNA precursor family
Rfam family: mir-8/mir-141/mir-200 microRNA precursor family
About the family: The bounds of the precursors are predicted based on conservation and base pairing and are not generally known.
Source: Rfam by way of RNAcentral
GUGGGCAUCUUACCGGACAGUGCUGGACUUCUCGGCUCGACUCUAACACUGUCUGGUAACGAUGUUCAA